RNAcentral lists this ribosomal RNA (424 nucleotides) under uncultured bacterium. Its description in RNAcentral is "bacterial SSU rRNA". It matches the Rfam family "Bacterial small subunit ribosomal RNA", at positions 917 to 1344 of the family's 1533-position model. The record is from RNAcentral.
GGGCCCGCACAAGCGGUGGAGUAUGUGGUUUAAUUCGAUGCAACGCGAAGAACCUUACCAGGGCUUAAAUGUAGUCUGACAGGGGUGGAAACACCCCCUCCUUCGGGCAGAUUACAAGGUGCUGCAUGGUUGUCGUCAGCUCGUGCCGUGAGGUGUCAGGUUAAGUCCUAUAACGAGCGCAACCCCUGCCGUUAGUUGCCAGCAUGUAAUGAUGGGAACUCUAACGGGACUGCCGGUGCAAACCGCGAGGAAGGUGGGGAUGACGUCAAAUCAUCACGGCCCUUACGUCCUGGGCUACACACGUGCUACAAUGGCCGGUACAGAGGGCAGCCACACCGCAAGGUGGAGCGAAUCCUUAAAACCGGUCUCAGUUCGGAUCGGGGUCUGCAACUCGGCCCCGUGAAGCUGGAAUCGCUAGUAAUCG